CCUACGGGAGGCAGCAGUGGGGAAUAUUGCGCAAUGGAGGAAACUCUGACGCAGCCAUGCCGCGUGUGUGAAGAAGGCCUUCGGGUUGUAAAGCACUUUCGACGGGGAAGAUGAUGACGGUACCCGUAGAAGAAGCCCCGGCUAACUUCGUGCCAGCAGCCGCGGUAAUACGAAGGGGGCAAGCGUUGUUCGGAAUUACUGGGCGUAAAGGGCGUGUAGGCGGACCAAUCAGUCAGGGGUGAAAGCCAUGGGCUCAACCUGUGAACUGCCUUUGAUACUGUUGGUCUAGAGUUCGUGAGAGGAUAGCGGAAUACCCAGUGUAGAGGUGAAAUUCGUAGAUAUUGGGUAGAACACCAGUGGCGAAGGCGGCUAUCUGGCACGAUACUGACGCUGAGGCGCGAAAGCGUGGGGAGCAAACAGGAUUAGAUACCCU
RNAcentral lists this ribosomal RNA (433 nucleotides) under Morganella morganii. RNAcentral describes it as "bacterial SSU rRNA". It matches the Rfam family "Bacterial small subunit ribosomal RNA", at positions 338 to 788 of the family's 1533-position model. Lineage: Bacteria; Pseudomonadati; Pseudomonadota; Gammaproteobacteria; Enterobacterales; Morganellaceae. The record is from RNAcentral.